This 504-nucleotide ribosomal RNA is filed under the name uncultured bacterium. Its description in RNAcentral is "partial 16S ribosomal RNA". It matches the Rfam family "Bacterial small subunit ribosomal RNA", at positions 30 to 523 of the family's 1533-position model. The record is from RNAcentral.
AUUGAACGCUGGCGGCAGGCCUAACACAUGCAAGUCGAACGGUAGCACAGAGAGCUUGCUCUCGGGUGACGAGUGGCGGACGGGUGAGUAACGUCUGGGAAACUGCCCGAUGGAGGGGGAUAACUACUGGAAACGGUAGCUAUUACCGCAUAACGUCGCAAGACCAAAGUGGGGGACCUUCGGGCCUCACACCAUCGGAUGUGCCCAGAUGGGAUUAGCUAGUAGGUGGGGUAAUGGCUCACCUAGGCGACGAUCCCUAGCUGGUCUGAGAGGGUGACCGGCCACACUGGAAAUGAGACACUGGCCAAACUCCUGAGGGAGGCAGCAGUGGGGAAUAUUGAACAAUGGGCGAAAGCCUGAUGCAGCCAUGCCGCGUGUAUGAAGAAGGCCUUCGGGUUGUAAAGUACUUUCAGCGGGGAGGAAGGCGGUGAAGUUAAUAACUUCACCGAUUGACGUUACCCGCAGAAGAAGCACCGGCUAACUCCGUGCCAGCCGCCGCCGUAA